Molecule: ribosomal RNA, 2903 nt
Filed under: Pseudomonas syringae pv. avellanae str. ISPaVe037
Lineage: Bacteria; Pseudomonadati; Pseudomonadota; Gammaproteobacteria; Pseudomonadales; Pseudomonadaceae
Description: LSU rRNA
Rfam family: Bacterial large subunit ribosomal RNA
Source: RNAcentral
GGUCAAGUGAAGAAGCGCAUACGGUGGAUGCCUUGGCAGUCAGAGGCGAUGAAAGACGUGGUAGCCUGCGAAAAGCUUCGGGGAGUCGGCAAACAGACUGUGAUCCGGAGAUGUCUGAAUGGGGGAACCCAGCCAUCAUAAGAUGGUUAUCUUGUACUGAAUACAUAGGUGCAAGAGGCGAACCAGGGGAACUGAAACAUCUAAGUACCCUGAGGAAAAGAAAUCAACCGAGAUUCCCUUAGUAGUGGCGAGCGAACGGGGACCAGCCCUUAAGUUGUAUUGAGAUUAGCGGAACGUUCUGGAAAGGACGGCCAUAGUGGGUGAUAGCCCUGUACGCGAAAAUCCCUUUGCAAUGAAAUCGAGUAGGACGGGGCACGAGAAACCUUGUCUGAAUAUGGGGGGACCAUCCUCCAAGGCUAAAUACUACUGACUGACCGAUAGUGAACCAGUACCGUGAGGGAAAGGCGAAAAGAACCGCGGAGAGCGGAGUGAAAUAGAUCCUGAAACCGUAUGCGUACAAGCAGUGGGAGCCCACUUUGUUGGGUGACUGCGUACCUUUUGUAUAAUGGGUCAGCGACUUAUUUUCAGUGGCGAGCUUAACCGAAUAGGGGAGGCGUAGCGAAAGCGAGUCUUAAUAGGGCGUCUAGUCGCUGGGAAUAGACCCGAAACCGGGCGAUCUAUCCAUGGGCAGGUUGAAGGUUGGGUAACACUAACUGGAGGACCGAACCGACUACCGUUGAAAAGUUAGCGGAUGACCUGUGGAUCGGAGUGAAAGGCUAAUCAAGCUCGGAGAUAGCUGGUUCUCCUCGAAAGCUAUUUAGGUAGCGCCUCAUGUAUCACUGUAGGGGGUAGAGCACUGUUUCGGCUAGGGGGUCAUCCCGACUUACCAAACCGAUGCAAACUCCGAAUACCUACAAGUGCCGAGCAUGGGAGACACACGGCGGGUGCUAACGUCCGUCGUGAAAAGGGAAACAACCCAGACCGUCAGCUAAGGUCCCAAAGUCAUGGUUAAGUGGGAAACGAUGUGGGAAGGCUUAGACAGCUAGGAGGUUGGCUUAGAAGCAGCCACCCUUUAAAGAAAGCGUAAUAGCUCACUAGUCGAGUCGGCCUGCGCGGAAGAUGUAACGGGGCUCAAACCAUGCACCGAAGCUACGGGUAUCAUCUUAUGAUGAUGCGGUAGAGGAGCGUUCUGUAAGCCUGUGAAGGUGAGUUGAGAAGCUUGCUGGAGGUAUCAGAAGUGCGAAUGCUGACAUGAGUAACGACAAUGGGUGUGAAAAACACCCACGCCGAAAGACCAAGGUUUCCUGCGCAACGUUAAUCGACGCAGGGUUAGUCGGUCCCUAAGGCGAGGCUGAAAAGCGUAGUCGAUGGAAAACAGGUUAAUAUUCCUGUACUUCUGGUUAUUGCGAUGGAGGGACGGAGAAGGCUAGGCCAGCCUGGCGUUGGUUGUCCAGGUUUAAGGUGGUAGGCUGAGAUCUUAGGUAAAUCCGGGAUCUUAAGGCCGAGAGCUGAUGACGAGUGUUCUUUUAGAACACGAAGUGGUUGAUGCCAUGCUUCCAAGAAAAGCUUCUAAGCUUCAGGUAACCAGGAACCGUACCCCAAACCGACACAGGUGGUUGGGUAGAGAAUACCAAGGCGCUUGAGAGAACUCGGGUGAAGGAACUAGGCAAAAUGGCACCGUAACUUCGGGAGAAGGUGCGCCGGUGGAGGUGAAGCAUUUACUGCGUAAGCCCCUGCCGGUCGAAGAUACCAGGCCGCUGCGACUGUUUAUUAAAAACACAGCACUCUGCAAACACGAAAGUGGACGUAUAGGGUGUGACGCCUGCCCGGUGCCGGAAGGUUAAUUGAUGGGGUUAGCGCAAGCGAAGCUCUUGAUCGAAGCCCCGGUAAACGGCGGCCGUAACUAUAACGGUCCUAAGGUAGCGAAAUUCCUUGUCGGGUAAGUUCCGACCUGCACGAAUGGCGUAACGAUGGCGGCGCUGUCUCCACCCGAGACUCAGUGAAAUUGAAAUCGCUGUGAAGAUGCAGUGUAUCCGCGGCUAGACGGAAAGACCCCGUGAACCUUUACUAUAGCUUUGCACUGGACUUUGAAUUUGCUUGUGUAGGAUAGGUGGGAGGCUUUGAAGCGUGGACGCCAGUCUGCGUGGAGCCAACCUUGAAAUACCACCCUGGCAACUUUGAGGUUCUAACUCAGGUCCGUUAUCCGGAUCGAGGACAGUGUAUGGUGGGUAGUUUGACUGGGGCGGUCUCCUCCUAAAGAGUAACGGAGGAGUACGAAGGUGCGCUCAGACCGGUCGGAAAUCGGUCGUAGAGUAUAAAGGCAAAAGCGCGCUUGACUGCGAGACAGACACGUCGAGCAGGUACGAAAGUAGGUCUUAGUGAUCCGGUGGUUCUGUAUGGAAGGGCCAUCGCUCAACGGAUAAAAGGUACUCCGGGGAUAACAGGCUGAUACCGCCCAAGAGUUCAUAUCGACGGCGGUGUUUGGCACCUCGAUGUCGGCUCAUCACAUCCUGGGGCUGAAGCCGGUCCCAAGGGUAUGGCUGUUCGCCAUUUAAAGUGGUACGCGAGCUGGGUUUAGAACGUCGUGAGACAGUUCGGUCCCUAUCUGCCGUGGACGUUUGAGAUUUGAGAGGGGCUGCUCCUAGUACGAGAGGACCGGAGUGGACGAACCUCUGGUGUUCCGGUUGUCACGCCAGUGGCAUUGCCGGGUAGCUAUGUUCGGAAAAGAUAACCGCUGAAAGCAUCUAAGCGGGAAACUUGCCUCAAGAUGAGAUCUCACUGGAACCUUGAGUUCCCUAAAGGGCCGUCGAAGACUACGACGUUGAUAGGUUGGGUGUGUAAGCGCUGUGAGGCGUUGAGCUAACCAAUACUAAUUGCCCGUGAGGCUUGACCAUAUAACACCC